Molecule: ribosomal RNA, 494 nt
Filed under: uncultured bacterium
Lineage: Bacteria
Description: partial 16S ribosomal RNA
Rfam family: Bacterial small subunit ribosomal RNA
Source: RNAcentral
GACGAACGCUGGCGGCGCGCUUAACACAUGCAAGUCGAACGGAAAGGCCUGCUUUCCCUUGUGGAUUGCGGGUACUCGAGUGGCUAACGGGUGAGUAACACGUGAGUCAUCUGCCCCCAACUUAGUUAUAAGCCUGGGAAACUGGGUCGAAUUCCCGAUAGGACUGCAGGGUUGUGCCGGUGGUGGCAAACGAGUUUCUAGUGGUUGGGGCCGCGCUCGAGCCCUAGCAGCUUGUUGUGGGGGUAAUGGCCUACCAAGGCGGCGACUGGUAGCCGGCCUGUGAGCGUGGACAGCCACAUUGGGACUGGGUUCCGGCCCCGACUCCUGCGGGCGGCAGCAGUGGGGACUAUUGCACCAUGGGCGGAAGCCUGAUGCAGCGACGCCGCGUGGGGGAUCUCGGCCUUCGGGUUCUAAACUCCUUUCGACCGCGAGGAAGCCACCUGGUUGGGCGGGUGGUGACGGUAGUGGUAGAAGAAGCACCGGCUAACUACGUG